RNAcentral lists this ribosomal RNA (488 nucleotides) under uncultured bacterium. RNAcentral describes it as "bacterial SSU rRNA". It matches the Rfam family "Bacterial small subunit ribosomal RNA", at positions 28 to 507 of the family's 1533-position model. The record is from RNAcentral.
GAUGAACGCUAGCUACAGGCUUAACACAUGCAAGUCGAGGGCAGCAUGAACUUAGCUUGCUAAGUUUGAUGGCGACCGGCGCACGGUGAGUAACACGUAUCCAACCUUCCGUUUACUCAGGGAUAGCCUUUCGAAAGAAAGAUUAAUACCUGAUAGUAUGGUGAGAUUGCAUGAUAACACCAUUAAAGAUUUAUUGGUAAACGAUGGGGAUGCGUUCCAUUAGGUAGUAGGCGGGGUAACGGCCCACCUAGCCUGCGAUGGAUAGGGGUUCUGAGAGGAAGGUCCCCCACAUUGGAACUGAGACACGGUCCAAACUCCUACGGGAGGCAGCAGUGAGGAAUAUUGGUCAAUGGGCGAGAGCCUGAACCAGCCAAGUAGCGUGAAGGAUGAAGGUCCUACGGAUUGUAAACUUCUUUUAUACGGGAAUAAAGUUUCCUACGUGUAGGAUUUUGUAUGUACCGUAUGAAUAAGCAUCGGCUAACUCCGUG